RNAcentral lists this ribosomal RNA (1343 nucleotides) under uncultured bacterium. RNAcentral's name for it is "16S ribosomal RNA". It matches the Rfam family "Bacterial small subunit ribosomal RNA", at positions 28 to 1378 of the family's 1533-position model. The record is from RNAcentral.
GACGAACGCUGGCGGCGUGCUUAACACAUGCAAGUCGAACGGAAAGGCCCUGCUUUUGUGGGGUGCUCGAGUGGCGAACGGGUGAGUAACACGUGAGUAACCUGCCCUUGACUUUGGGAUAACUUCAGGAAACUGGGGCUAAUACCGGAUAGGAGCUCCUGCUGCAUGGUGGGGGUUGGAAAGUUUCGGCGGUUGGGGAUGGACUCGCGGCUUAUCAGCUUGUUGGUGGGGUAGUGGCUUACCAAGGCUUUGACGGGUAGCCGGCCUGAGAGGGUGACCGGCCACAUUGGGACUGAGAUACGGCCCAGACUCCUACGGGAGGCAGCAGUGGGGAAUAUUGCACAAUGGGCGGAAGCCUGAUGCAGCAACGCCGCGUGCGGGAUGACGGCCUUCGGGUUGUAAACCGCUUUCGCCUGUGACGAAGCGUGAGUGACGGUAAUGGGUAAAGAAGCACCGGCUAACUACGUGCCAGCAGCCGCGGUGAUACGUAGGGUGCGAGCGUUGUCCGGAUUUAUUGGGCGUAAAGGGCUCGUAGGUGGUUGAUCGCGUCGGAAGUGUAAUCUUGGGGCUUAACCCUGAGCGUGCUUUCGAUACGGGUUGACUUGAGGAAGGUAGGGGAGAAUGGAAUUCCUGGUGGAGCGGUGGAAUGCGCAGAUAUCAGGAGGAACACCAGUGGCGAAGGCGGUUCUCUGGGCCUUUCCUGACACUGAGGAGCGAAAGCGUGGGGAGCGAACAGGCUUAGAUACCCUGGUAGUCCACGCUGUAAACGGUGGGUACUAGGUGUGGGGUCCAUUCCACGGGUUCCGUGCCGUAGCUAACGCUUUAAGUACCCCGCCUGGGGAGUACGGCCGCAAGGCUAAAACUCAAAGGAAUUGACGGGGCCCCGCACAAGCGGCGGAGCAUGCGGAUUAAUUCGAUGCAACGCGUAGAACCUUACCUGGGUUUGACAUGGAUCGGGAGUGCUCAGAGAUGGGUGUGCCUCUUUUGGGGUCGGUUCACAGGUGGUGCAUGGCUGUCGUCAGCUCGUGUCGUGAGAUGUUGGGUUAAGUCCCGCAACGAGCGCAACCCUUGUUCACUGUUGCCAGCACGUUAUGGUGGGGACUCAGUGGAGACCGCCGGGGUCAACUCGGAGGAAGGUGGGGAUGACGUCAAGUCAUCAUGCCCCUUAUGUCCAGGGCUUCACGCAUGCUACAAUGGCUGGUACAGAGAGUGGCGAGCCUGUGAGGGUGAGCGAAUCUCGGGAAGCCGGUCUCAGUUCGGAUUGGGGUCUGCAACUCGACCUCAUGAAGUCGGAGUCGCUAGUAAUCGCAGAUCAGCAACGCUGCGGUGAAUACGUUCCCGGG